Molecule: long non-coding RNA, 919 nt
Filed under: Homo sapiens (human)
Lineage: Eukaryota; Metazoa; Chordata; Mammalia; Primates; Hominidae
Description: HSALNT0402494
Source: RNAcentral
AGACAUGGCUUUGCAUCUUCAGAUGGCCACAUGGGGGCUGCCAUGUGGAAAACCUAAAGUCCUCAUCGCCAGCACCCACUUGCUCACUGGAGAUGAUGUGGAUAGUACCACCGGUCUCGCUGUCGAAAGACGACUCUGCUAACAUGUCUUGGAGUGUUUUCUAGUCAGGAGCUCACUUAAAAAUUUUGAAAUGCGACCACGAACAAUGGUAAUAUGAUGUAUAUGAAAUUUAAUUUGUACGACAGUUUCACAGUAUUCAUGUCUUAACCUUAAUUUUUUCAGAAGAAGGUAAACCAUGAACGCCUUGGUGUGAGGGGAGGUGCCUGGUUCCUGCUGGUGAGGCGCCCUGGGGGAUGGUGCCCACACUGGUCCCUGCCUGGAUGGCAUCCUGGGGGAUGGUGCCCACGCCUGGUUCCUGCUGGUGAGGUGCCCUGGGGGAGCCGGGUUGGUGGGUUUCUUCGCAAGAGUGGGCAGAGCUGCCCAGAAACGUGUUUCCUCCUGUUGGCGUCUGUGGCAUCGCGCUCUUUGGUGGUAGAAACGGGGCGUCAGUGACCUGGGGCUGCCAUGUCAAAGGGCCACAAAGGGAACGUCGUAAACAACAGACAUCUGUUCCCUCCAGUCCUGGAGGCCGGAGGUCUGAGGUUUGGGCAUCAGCCCGCCGCGGUUCCUGGGAGGGUGCUGGGGGCCUGAGGUUCGGUUGUCGGCCCACCGCGGUUCCUGGGAGGGUGCUGGGGGCCUGAGGUUCGGUCGUCGGCCGCGGCGGUUCCUGGGAGGGUGCUGGGGGUCUGAGGUUCGGUUGUCGGCCCACCGCGGUUCCUGGGAGGGUGCUGGGGGUCUGAGGUUCGGUUGUCGGCCCGCCGCGGUUUCUGGGAGGGUGCUGGGGGUCUGCUCCAGGCCUCUCUCCAGCCUCUUGCCGGGG